ACUGAGCGGCGGACGGGUGAGUAACGCGUGGGCAACCUGCCUUACACAGGGGGAUAACAGUUAGAAAUGACUGCUAAUACCGCAUAAGACCACAGGACUGCAUGGUCCGGUGGUAAAAACUCCGGUGGUGUAAGAUGGGCCCGCGUCUGAUUAGGUAGUUGGCGGGGUAACGGCCCACCAAGCCGACGAUCAGUAGCCGACCUGAGAGGGUGACCGGCCACAUUGGGACUGAGACACGGCCCAGACUCCUACGGGAGGCAGCAG
This 264-nucleotide ribosomal RNA is filed under the name uncultured bacterium. RNAcentral describes it as "partial 16S ribosomal RNA". It matches the Rfam family "Bacterial small subunit ribosomal RNA", at positions 90 to 354 of the family's 1533-position model. The record is from RNAcentral.